CUGUACAUGCAGCUACUCACCUUUUUGUCUCUCUGAUGCCUUGUGUUGCAUUACUGCAGCUCGAUCCAGGAGGUGCUAGCUCAGGCUGGCUGGAAAGGAUGCAAAAGGGUUGACGGAUCCAUGCCGCACAAGCACUGGUGCUCUGCUUUCUUCUUACUUUGUGUUCUAAUUUGCUUUCUUCUUAUUUUCAGUUUGCGAGAUACAAAAAGAAGUUAAAAAAUGUUGUGCCUGGAGUUCAUAUUAUUUGCUACCCCAUGAUGGAGAAGGUGCCUCAUGGUAAAAGCAUGCCAAGAUUUUCUAAGAACCCCAGACCCAUCCUGGCGCCGCCCAGCCCCCAACCUCCAACCUCCCCGGAUCCUGGCGCCACCCCGCCCCUACCUCCUCCCUGGAUCCCGGCGCCGCAUGCCCCCAUCUUCCCGGAUCCCCGCGACGCCUAGUCCCCAACCUCUCCGGCUCCCGGCGCCGCCAACCGCCAUCCUCUGCCAGCUCCUGUAGCCACCUCCACCUGUUUCCUCCUGCAGGUCGGACGGUGCGAAUCUGGCCGACGUGGUGGGGCUAUGAGACUCGCCAGGGUGGAGCUCCUCCGCCUCUAGCCGUUGAUCCAUAGUUCAUUGUCAGUACAGGUUCUGGAACUGCCUAGUACAUGUUGGGGGACAUUUCUGGAAUCAUGUAUCCUUGCUAGCUUGCAGCUGUAAUUUUGAUUGCAUAGUAGUACAGUUUAGUUGGCUCUGAAGUUUUGAUUCACAACAGUACAAUUUAGUCCCAGCUACCAUGAUUCUGCAAACCAUUGUGCUCUCAAAAGAUGGUGUUUUGUUGCAACAAGUUGUGGAAAAAAUACAGUGAAAUAAUAAAAUGUGCUCCCACAAGUUCAUAUGAUAUAUUGUUGUCAAUUCAAUUUCUUUUAUAUACCUCUACACAUGUUUGUUGAAAUGCUGACAAGGAGCUAGACUUGUUUUUUUGUUCAUAUUUCUUGUUUCUUAAAACAACUGAUGUACUAUUAUCAAAAUGGAAGCCACAAUAAAGAUCUCAUCUCUAAAUUGAUGAUUCAGCCAUGUUUGCUUGUGUGUACUACUGAACUGACAAUGUUACUAAACUUGUGUUCUCACUGAUUCUGAACUGUUGCUGUAGCAUUUGUGAUGCUCGUCUGAUUUUGGUUGGAAGUUUAAUGAAUCCAUACAUAGUUCAACUUUUUGGAAGUUAAAAGUUCAACGAGUGUCUUAGAGAAAACUUGGAAGUUUUCUCUAUAUAAAAAAGAUAACAAAAAUAUAUGUGUUCUGACCUAAGAUGUUCAGGAAAGAGUUCCAGAAUAUCCCCGGUCGCUGCGUCCCCGGGAAGCCAUGUGACAGCCACCACCACUGUGAGUUGCCGGUGCAGUGUCCCACCAGCCCCCAUGUGCCUCCAUCCCUCAAGCUCCCAGAUGCAUCAUCGUGAACCCUUUGUUCCCCAUCGCUGCCUCCUCCAACUCCUUUCAUGGCUCUGGAAAAUCACUUAUCAGGUAUGUUCAGUUCAGACCACACUAAAAUGGCCAAAUUAAAGAUAAAUAUUUGCAUUGUCCUAAAUUCUUCCACUCUCUGGAAACAAAGUCGCAGAAUGCAUGUGAACAGAGUAUACUUCCAUGGUUUUGCAAGUAAUCAUACAAUAAGUGCACUGUUCACUAUGUAUUUUAUCAUCAGUUAAAAAAUAAUCAUAGAAAAAGUUCAAUUUGUGUUAUUGAAACAGCUCAAUUUAUCAGUAUUGUGGAGAUCAUGCAUGAGUAGUAUUUAUGUUCUCAAGAUAUGAGAGAGUGGGAUGUUUGCAUGAUUGUGGCUGGUUGGAGUGUAUGGUCUUUGUGGAGAUCAUGCAUGUUAUUUGCUUAUGACACGAUGUAUAUAUAUACUGCUAGAAGUUCUAGUACCUAUAUUACUACAAUUCGCUAAUAAAAAUGUAUCAGUUCAUUGUCUAGCACAUGGUUAACACAUAUAAUUACAAAAUAGUUACUUGAACUAUACAAGAGUUCAACUUUUACUUGAUUUUCAGUUCAAAUUUUGUGUUAUUUUUAGUACAUCAACUUUAAUGUGCAGAACAUCGAGGAAAUCCUGAAAAAUUAUAUGUACACUCUAUGUAUUUUCUUAUGCUUACAAGAAUUCUGCACUCAUACUGUUAUGCAUCAGUUUAGGUCGCCCGUGGAGUUUUAGAUAUAUGCAAAAUCGUAUUAGAUCACCAUGCUCUCACCCAAAGGUUUGAAAAACCAUUGCUUUCAGUUCUGGUAACAUAUGUUUUUGUUUCAGUUUUGCUAAUUCUUUCUCCAAUGGGCCUUUAUAUAUUAUCUUUCACUUGUCUUACUAUAUGAAAAAUAUGUGGCCUUUAGCGAGCAAUCUGGCUCAGUUUUCUGGUUAAAAAACAGACAACAUGGAUUUACCAUGUUCUAUUAAAAGAAAGCUGGAGUUCAAAUUCUAAUUUUAGUUCAGUGAAGAUCAAUGGGAAAAUGCACAAGAAGUUCAGACUCUUGUUUCCUAAAGUGUUUGUUUUGGUAUGUCUAGCCCAAACAAUCAUCAAUUUUUUUAAAAAAAUUCUCUGUUGUCAAAUAAAAGCUACACUAAUUAUUAUGGACAUGCUCAUUACAAACUUUUGUAAUGGUGCAGUACACCUAUUUAAUUUUUUUAUAUAUUUACAAAACAGAAAUUAUAAUUCUCAGAAACCUACAAAAAAAGCAUCAAUUUAUAUUGAUAGUUGUUCUAGUCCUUAUGUUACAACAGUGCAAUGAAAAAAUCUCAUCAGUUCAACAACAUGGACAUGCUAAUGCUGUAGCGAGUCCAUGCUAAUGCUGUAGUGAUCUCGUGCUCGGCCACAAGGAUGUCGGCUGCAAUGAUGCCAAAGUGACGAGCUAUCUACAUUCUGCCUGGCUGUUGUCCAUCUAUAUCUGUGUCCGUGGUGCGUCGCCAGCGGCAUCAUCCCUGACCAGGGCACCAUGCUGAGGCACUUGCUACUACUAACGCACACUGCAUUUGACGCAUAAAGAUGGAAAAUGCAGGAAGUCGCAUGUUUAUGUGGAGCUAAUGCACACCAUUUUUUUGCUGAAAAUACCGCGGUUAAAAUGAAGGUAAGCUUGUGCGUGUAUUUGUCUGAGGUGGUUGGUUCUAGAAAGGGAGAUUCACACAAGUAGGUUUAAAGAUAUUAUUUAUUAAAAAGUUGUAGCUCUUUUCUUGGUUUAUGGUCAGCUCAUGCAUCGAGUUUCCAUCCAAUCCAUGGGAUGACCUCUACCUGCACGUACUUGCUGCUAAAAUGUUGUGUCGUUAAACUUGUUAUGAAGCCACUGUUAUUCUUCAGCUGCGACCUACAGGAGUUUCUUCAUCUGCGCUUCAACAAAAAAGAACAGCAGCAGUCCAUGCAUCUGCCGUAUCUCUUUCCUCUCUACUGCUCUUUUCUCUUACUAAUUUGUUUCUCUUUGAACUGCAGCAUGGGGGAGGUUGGACUACAGACAACCCCCGCCGCCCCAUGCAUUACUUCCUCCGGUCCCUGUCCAGGAUUUUGCAUGAUCCAUAGCCAUCAAUGGCAACAGGCGAGCAGUUCAAGGCCUCCUACGUGAGCUUGUUGUCUCAACACAUCUAUCAUCGGAGUAUCUGCAUCCCCUUGCCGCACACACAUGCCCGGCGGUCGAGAUAUUGUUGUUUGUGAUUACUGGUCGUGACUCUUACGUUGUCAUUGGUUGUCAUUGGACAAAGAAUUUGUUUUGUAACUCUGUAUUGGCAGGACCCUCAGUAAAUAUAUGUUCUUAGUAUUCUGAUCUUUAGGCCAAAAUGGUGAAACUUUAAACAUGAGUCUGAAUUAAUAAAACUGAGAAGUUCUACUAUCAGUAAACGGGUGGACCUAGGUGCAACAAAGCUCUGCCAUUAGCCGUGGUGAUUAUCAGUUCACGUGUAUUGUGU
Long non-coding RNA from Triticum aestivum (bread wheat), 3905 nucleotides. RefSeq lists it as uncharacterized. The record is from RefSeq and is a predicted model, not a curated record. NCBI's taxonomy places the organism in Eukaryota, Viridiplantae, Streptophyta, Magnoliopsida, Poales, Poaceae. The transcript is spliced from 3 exons.